RNAcentral lists this ribosomal RNA (732 nucleotides) under Triticum aestivum (bread wheat). Its description in RNAcentral is "partial small subunit ribosomal RNA". Lineage: Eukaryota; Viridiplantae; Streptophyta; Magnoliopsida; Poales; Poaceae. The record is from RNAcentral.
AUGGCCGAGGAGGCAACAAGGGCGGUCAGGGAAGAAGAGCUGUCGCCGGUGGCGGAGGGGGCGCCCGUGACGGCCCGGCGGCCCGUCCGAGCGGACCUGGAGAAGCGCAUCCCGAAGCCCUACCUGGCCCGAGCCCUGGUGGCGCCGGACGUGUACCAUCCCGGAGGGAGCAAGGAGGGCGGGCACCAGCACCGCCAGAGGAGCGUGCUGCAGCAGCACGUCGCCUUCUUCGACAUGGAUGGCGACGGCGUCAUCUAUCCAUGGGAAACUUACCAAGGACUGAGGGCAUUGGGCUUCAACAUGAUCGUCUCCAUCCUCAUCGCAAUAGGCAUACAUACUACCCUGAGCUACACAACUCUGCAUAGCUGGGUGCCAUCUCUCCUUUUCCCAAUCUACAUCGACAACAUCCACAGGGCCAAGCAUGGGAGCGACACCGCGACUUAUGACUCCGAGGGAAGGUACAUGCCGGUGAACUUCGAGAACAUAUUCAGCAAGAACGCCUCGCCGGAUAAGCUCACAUUCCGGGAAAUCUGGAUGAUGACCGACGGCCAACGGCAGGCGAACGACCCAUUUGGAUGGGUGGCGAGCAAGGGGGAGUGGAUGCUGCUGUACAUGCUCGCCAAGGACGAGGAGGGGAACCUUCCGAGGGAGGCUAUUCGCCGCUGCUUCGACGGUAGCCUCUUCGAGUUCAUCGCCGACGAGAGGAGGCAGGCACACGGGAAGCGGCAGUAG